RNAcentral lists this ribosomal RNA (496 nucleotides) under uncultured bacterium. RNAcentral describes it as "partial 16S ribosomal RNA". It matches the Rfam family "Bacterial small subunit ribosomal RNA", at positions 38 to 507 of the family's 1533-position model. The record is from RNAcentral.
GGGGGGGCGGGGGGGGGGGCGGGUGCAUGCGGGUGGCGCGGACGGACGGGGAGCGGGCGUCUCGGGUGUGAGCGGCGGACGGGUGGGUAGCGGGUGGCGCACCUACUCAUAAGGCGGGCGUGACGUCGGGAGUCCGGAGCUGAGACCGGGUAAUAGUUUGAACCGCCUGGUUCAAAGUUGCCAGCCGGUGUGGCUGUCACUUAUAGAUGCAUCCGCGCUGCAUUAGCCAGUUGGUAAGGUAGCGGCUUACCAAGUCAACGAUGCAUAGCCGACCUGAGAUGGUGAUCGGCCACACUGGAACUGAGACAAGGUCCAGACUCCUACGGGAGGCAGCAGUAGGGAAUCUUCCGCCAAGGGCGAAAGCGUGACGGAGCAACGCCGCGUGAGUGAUGAAGUUCUUCGGAUCGUACAACUCUGUUAUUAGGGAAGAACAUAUGUGUAAGUAACUGUGCACAUCUUGACGGGACCUAAUCAGAAAGCCACGACUAACUACGUG